UCCCUGGUGGCUCAGAUGGUAAAGCGUCUGCCUACAGUGCACAAGACCUGGGUUCAAUCCCUGGGUUGGGAA
This 72-nucleotide transfer RNA is filed under the name Bos taurus (domestic cattle). It matches the Rfam family "tRNA". Rfam says of the family: Transfer RNA (tRNA) molecules are approximately 80 nucleotides in length. Their secondary structure includes four short double-helical elements and three loops (D, anti-codon, and T loops). Further hydrogen bonds mediate the characteristic L-shaped molecular structure. tRNAs have two regions of fundamental functional importance: the anti-codon, which is responsible for specific mRNA codon recognition, and the 3' end, to which the tRNAs corresponding amino acid is attached (by aminoacyl-tRNA synthetases). tRNAs cope with the degeneracy of the genetic code in two manners: having more than one tRNA (with a specific anti-codon) for a particular amino acid; and 'wobble' base-pairing, i.e. permitting non-standard base-pairing at the 3rd anti-codon position. The record is from Rfam by way of RNAcentral. RNAcentral also lists the same sequence under 1 other name. Lineage: Eukaryota; Metazoa; Chordata; Mammalia; Artiodactyla; Bovidae.